This 437-nucleotide ribosomal RNA is filed under the name Hoylesella oralis. RNAcentral's name for it is "bacterial SSU rRNA". It matches the Rfam family "Bacterial small subunit ribosomal RNA", at positions 28 to 451 of the family's 1533-position model. Lineage: Bacteria; Pseudomonadati; Bacteroidota; Bacteroidia; Bacteroidales; Prevotellaceae. The record is from RNAcentral.
GAUGAACGCUAGCUACAGGCUUAACACAUGCAAGUCGCGGGGCAUCAUGGAGGUUGCUUGCAAUUUCUGAUGGCGACCGGCGCACGGGUGAGUAACGCGUAUCCAACCUUCCCAUUACUACGGCAUACCCCGUUGAAAGGCGGCCUAAUUCCGUAUGCAGUCCGAAGCAGUCAUCUAAUUUGGACGAAAGGUAUAUUCUAUCGGUAAUGGAUGGGGAUGCGUCCGAUUAGCCAGCCGGCGGGGUAACGGCCCACCGGGGCAUCGAUCGGUAGGGGUUCUGAGAGGAAGGUCCCCCACACUGGAACUGAGACACGGUCCAGACUCCUACGGGAGGCAGCAGUGAGGAAUAUUGGUCAAUGGGCGAAGCCUGAACCAGCCAAGUAGCGUGCAGGAUGACGGCCCUAUGGGUUGUAAACUGCUUUUAUGCGGGGAUAAAG